This 467-nucleotide ribosomal RNA is filed under the name uncultured bacterium. Its description in RNAcentral is "partial 16S ribosomal RNA". It matches the Rfam family "Bacterial small subunit ribosomal RNA", at positions 28 to 507 of the family's 1533-position model. The record is from RNAcentral.
GAUGAACGCUGGCGGCGUGCUUAACACAUGCAAGUCGAACGGAAAGGCUCCUGCUUGCCGGGGUACUCGAGUGGCGAACGGGUGAGUAACACGUGGGUGAUCUGCCCUGCACUUCGGGAUAAGCCUGGGAAACUGGGUCUAAUACCGGAUAGGACCACAUUUUGGAUGGUGUGGUGGAAAGUUUUUCGGUGUGGGAUGAGCUCGCGGCCUAUCAGCUUGUUGGUGGGGUAAUGGCCUACCAAGGCGUCGACGGGUAGCCGGCCUGAGAGGGUGUACGGCCACAUUGGGACUGAGAUACGGCCCAGACUCCUACGGGAGGCAGCAAUGGGGAAUAUUGCACAAUGGGCGCAAGCCUGAUGCAGCGACGCCGCGUGGGGGAUGACGGCCUUCGGGUUGUAAACUCCUUUCGCUAGGGACGAAGCGUUUUUGUGACGGUACCUGGAGAAGAAGCACCGGCUAACUACGUG